GAAAAAAAUACAUGGCCGCAUAUAUAUAUUUCAAGUUUUGCUUGGUCAGCAGGGUCCUAAUAAUCUCGAAAAUAACUUGAAGGUGACCAAUAGAUUCAAAAAUGAUAAACCUCAGCAAGAUAUUAUACAAGAAAGUUGUGCAGCGAAAUCCUCAUAUGCAUCACAAGUACUUGAGGAGCCUAAUCUUUUAUCUCCUAAUAAAAAAAUAGAUCGAAGCC
RNAcentral lists this long non-coding RNA (218 nucleotides) under Elaeis guineensis (African oil palm). RNAcentral describes it as "long non-coding RNA (EGUI_LNC078017)". The record is from RNAcentral. Lineage: Eukaryota; Viridiplantae; Streptophyta; Magnoliopsida; Arecales; Arecaceae.